UGUAAAUACGCUCCUUUGCGUGUUAUAAAGUGGACAUAGAGAAAGAUUCUUUGCGGGAUAGUUCUCUAUGUCUUUUAUUGUACCA
Molecule: antisense RNA, 85 nt
Filed under: Lactococcus lactis
Lineage: Bacteria; Bacillati; Bacillota; Bacilli; Lactobacillales; Streptococcaceae
Description: ctRNA
Rfam family: ctRNA
About the family: Rolling circle replication plasmids contain a number of mechanisms to maintain a low copy number. One of these methods is to transcribe a small RNA called ctRNA (for counter-transcribed RNA) than is transcribed on the opposite strand to RepB the replication initiation protein. ctRNA binds to the mRNA of repB and causes translational inhibition.
Source: Rfam by way of RNAcentral